AUGGAGAGGAUGGCCAACUCCUACUUUAAGGAGAUUUUCACUAAAGAUCCUACCCUGAAUCCGCAUGAGGUGCUGGACAAUAUUGUUACUAAGGUGUCAGCGGAGAUGAAUGACACCUUGUGUAAGCCAUACUCGGAGGAGGAGAUUUCAAAUGCUCUUUUUCAGAUCGGGCCCCUAAAAGCUCCAGGCUGUGAUGGUUUCCCGGCAAGGUUUUAUCAAAGGAAUUGGGCUGUUUUGAAGGUGGAAAUAGUGGCUGGAGUGCAGGAGUUUUUUGUUACUGGCAUCAUGCCAGAUGAUGUUAACGACACGGCAAUUGUGUUAAUUCCAAAAGUGCCCCACCCUAAGGAACUAAAGGAUUUCCACCCCAUUAGUCUGUGUAAUGUGGUGUACAAGAUCGUGUCUAAAUGCAUGGUGAACAGGCUCCGGCCGCUCCUGUCUGAGCUUGUCUCUGACAAUCAGAGUGCAUUCAUUCCAGGAGGCUAA
Molecule: ribosomal RNA, 483 nt
Filed under: Triticum aestivum (bread wheat)
Lineage: Eukaryota; Viridiplantae; Streptophyta; Magnoliopsida; Poales; Poaceae
Description: partial small subunit ribosomal RNA
Source: RNAcentral